Molecule: ribosomal RNA, 425 nt
Filed under: Micrococcus luteus
Lineage: Bacteria; Bacillati; Actinomycetota; Actinomycetes; Micrococcales; Micrococcaceae
Description: bacterial SSU rRNA
Rfam family: Bacterial small subunit ribosomal RNA
Source: RNAcentral
GAUGAACGCUGGCGGCGUGCUUAACACAUGCAAGUCGAACGAUGAAGCCCAGCCUGCUGGGCGGAUUAGUGGCGAACGGGUGAGUAACACGUGAGUAACCUGCCCUUGACUCUGGGAUAAGCCCGGGAAACUGGGUCUAAUACCGGAUAGGAGCGCCUGUCGCAUGACGGGUGCUGGAAAGAUUUUUCGGUCAUGGAUGGACUCGCGGCCUAUCAGCUUGUUGGUGAGGUAACGGCUCACCAAGGCGACGACGGGUAGCCGGCCUGAGAGGGUGACCGGCCACACUGGGACUGAGACACGGCCCAGACUCCUACGGGAGGCAGCAGUGGGGAAUAUUGCACAAUGGGCGGAAGCCUGAUGCAGCGACGCCGCGUGAGGGAUGACGGCCUUUCGGGUUGUAAACCUCCUUUCAAUAAGGGAAGAAA